Long non-coding RNA from Sinocyclocheilus grahami, 480 nucleotides. RefSeq lists it as uncharacterized. Lineage: Eukaryota; Metazoa; Chordata; Actinopteri; Cypriniformes; Cyprinidae. The record is from RefSeq and is a predicted model, not a curated record. The transcript is spliced from 3 exons.
UCGUUGUCAAUAACUCCUCCCCUCACUUCUGGUUCUGUGGCUGCGGUUCUGUGGUUGCGGUUCUGUGGCUGCGGUUCUGUCGCUGCGGUUCUGAAACUGCUGGUGCUGCGGGUCUGCAGCUGGAUAUAUCGCUAAGGUUUUGCGUGAUAAACAAAUCUAACAGCCUUGCACCAAUUGUAUUUCUUAAAGUGCUAUUACGGUGUACAAAGCACAAAGUUAGGCUAUAUUAUUAUAUUACCCAUCAUAAAACAAAGACAAGAGUCAAGACUUUUGGAUCCGUAUGAUACGACGAAGCCUGAGAUCUAGAAGGGAGCGUAGCCUCGUGGUAGCAUCACAGAGAGGCACAACAUCCCUUUCCGGAACAUUCUCCUUCACUGUUCCUGACUGCUGGAAUGAUCUUCCCUCCUCCAUCCGGAAUGCUGUGUCUCUGACUGGUUUUUUAAACGACAGCUGAAAACUCAUCUCUUUCGUCAACAUUUG